GGAUCAUCAGCAUAAUAUGGAGGCAGAUCAACUCAUCCCUCUAACCAAGCGGCAUUGUAGUCUUGGAUGCUCAAUCCUCGAGGAAUGCGCGUCGGGUCAUAAGAACUCUCGGAUCUCUCGCUGAAGCUCUGGCUCUGAGAGGUGUCUUGAUAAGGAGCCCAUCCGAAUAUGCCGGCACCAAAAUCCGACCCGUAAGACCCUCCGGGCUGCGCAGGGUAGUAGCCACCGGAAGAUGACUCCGAUGCACCAUAUCCAUAGGCUGGCUGAGGCCGCGGAUAAUAGGAAGACUCGGAACUUGAUACAUCAAUGGAUCCGACUCCACAUGGGAGGUCAUCUGCAGCCGCAUCCUGGCCUCUUGAACG
Molecule: long non-coding RNA, 362 nt
Filed under: Phoenix dactylifera (date palm)
Lineage: Eukaryota; Viridiplantae; Streptophyta; Magnoliopsida; Arecales; Arecaceae
Description: long non-coding RNA (PDAC_LNC015357)
Source: RNAcentral